CGAAUCCCGCGAUCACUUCGAAGCAAGCGGUUCUCCUGAUCGGAUGUAAAAGUGAUUAAUAGAGCUCGGUAGACAAGAGUUCAUUUAAGUGUAAUAAAAAAGUGAAAAGUACAGAAAAAAGAUACAAACUUAUUUCAACAUAUUGUACCCUGAGAAAGAAGCAAUUUUAUAUAUGGGACCCGUUUAAGGAAAAGGUUUAAACUAUUAAAGACAGUUCAGAAAACUGUACCACUUGAUUACAAGGACUACAUUUACACCGUAUUGCUCACAUCUGUCAUCUUAAAUAAUUCGUGGACCGUCAUUAAAGGAACCAACAAGCGAAAGAAAUUAUCACUACUAUGACUCGCAGGAAAGUUUUGUACGCACAUGCAGGCGCACGAAUGUGGCAAAACAAAAAAUUGUGUGAUUAUAAAAAAUAUGUAUAAUAAUUUAUAAUAUGUAUAUGUACGAGUAUAUAUGUAUCAUAUAAAUUCUAGGAGUUACGUUAAGUACAAAUGUAUUAAAAACAAUAGUAAUGAUAACGUGUUAGCAUGGUAAAAAAUAGAGUUUAAGCAGAACAAUUGUUUGAUAAUA
Drosophila suzukii is the source of this 573-nucleotide non-coding RNA. NCBI's taxonomy places the organism in Eukaryota, Metazoa, Arthropoda, Insecta, Diptera, Drosophilidae. The record is from RefSeq and is a predicted model, not a curated record.